Small nucleolar RNA from Elaeis guineensis (African oil palm), 90 nucleotides. RefSeq annotates it as small nucleolar RNA snoR114. Lineage: Eukaryota; Viridiplantae; Streptophyta; Magnoliopsida; Arecales; Arecaceae. The record is from RefSeq and is a predicted model, not a curated record.
GAGCGAUGAGGAUAACAGCGCAACGUGUGUGAUGCCGGGGGGCAUCACAACCGUCUGAUUAUAUCUGACGAAACCAGCGCUCCUGAGCUC